This 3668-nucleotide long non-coding RNA is filed under the name Solanum tuberosum (potato). RNAcentral describes it as "long non-coding RNA (STUB_LNC003575)". The record is from RNAcentral. Lineage: Eukaryota; Viridiplantae; Streptophyta; Magnoliopsida; Solanales; Solanaceae.
CCAUUUCUUUUUCGUGCAAAUCUGAAAAAAACCACAUUAAAAGCACCAAUUCUAAGUUAAAGCAAGCCAAAAUAACUACGAAAAGAGCCUCAAAUGAGUAGAAAUCCGACUCAUCAACACCCCCAACUUAGAAACCUUGUUUGUCCUCAAGUAAAGAAAAUCAAAAACGCAAGAAGCUCAUAUUUCAAGACACACCACAAAUCAAUUUCCCUCUCUCAAUUAAGCACAAAGGUAAUAACUUCGGUUGGUACUAACAAAUAGUACACAUGCAAACUUUUCACAAAAUAAAUCCUCACUCUCAUGAAACAUUUUCAAAAACCAAGAAUCGUUUAAGUGACAACAACUCAAACUCAAGAAAUGACUCAACUCAUUAACUCUUUCACAUGCUCACUUGACUCAAUUAGGAAUUUUCAAAAUCACCACUUUUUCAACCUACAUGCCCUUACAAGAAAGAAGUUUCCCAAAAUCACACACAUAUAAACAAGACAAGGGACAAAGAUGUAACACUCACACUUACAAAGAAUCAUCUCAUGCACACACAAAUGUCACACCAUAGGCUUGCCCAUAUUUUCAAUCAACAUUGACUCAACUCCAUUUGGUUAGAAAUCUCAAAGGACUUUGUUAAGCAAUAACGUAGGCUUAGGGAAGGUUAGGAUAUCAUUUAGGUAUAAGUGACUACACCCUCCUUGAACACUACAUAACAAAUCAUUCUUUCUAACUUUCUCCACUUUUCUUCACUUUCCAAACCCAUGCACAUUCCACACUACUUUUCAUUUUUCUUUUCUUAUUUCCACUCUAUUUUUCACUUUUCUUUUCUUAUUUCCACUCUAGAUUCCCACAUGCAACCAUUUUCAACUUUUGGAGGAUUUAAGUCUCACUUAUUCAUUUUCUUUCUUUCUUUUUCAAGGUUUUUUCUUUCUUUAAGACUUCCCAUCCAUCCUUCAAUUUCUUUUUUCUUUUUAUCUUUUUUUAUAGCAAGCCCACAUGUGGUAAGCAUCCCUUCAAUGAAUUUCCCAUAACACCCCCAACUUAGGCUUUUAGCCUCCACUUUCACAACCUCAAGUUCAAGGAGGGAAGGGUUCAAAAGAUGAACACCCCCAACCUAGGCCUUUAGCCUCAACUUUCACAACCUCAAGUUCAAGGAGGGAAGGGUUCAAAAGAUGAACACCCCCAACCUAGGCCUUUAGCCUCAACUUUCACAACCUCAAGUUCAAGGAGGGAAGGGUUCAAAAGAUGAACACCCCCAACCUAGGCCUUUAGCCUCAACUUUCACAACCUCAAGUUCAAGGAGGGAAGGGUUCAAAAGAUGAACACCCCCAACCUAGGCCUUUAGCCUCAACUUUCACAACCUCAAGUUCAAGGAGGGAAGGGUUCAAAAGAUGAACACCCCCAACCUAGGCCUUUAGCCUCAACUUUCACAACCUCAAGUUCAAGGAGGACUAACAAAUCAAAAGUCAUAAAAAGAGUUGUAAAAGUUGUCACAAAAUCAUUCACAACAUGCUCAACCUUUUAAAAACGGAGAGGUAUGCUCAACACUAUUCACAUGCAUGACUAUGCUCUUAGUACCAACCAAGUCAAAACCUUCCCAAAAAAGACGACGAUUUUGCCCUUAAGAGUUGUUAACCAAUCCAUCAUCAGGCAACCUCAUGCAUCUAUUCGGGAACGGCUACUCAGACUUCGCCACAAUCAAAGCCAAUCAAACACUCACAAGCAAUCGAUGAUUUACCCUUAAGAAAGUUGUCCCUCUCUAUCCAUCAUUAGGCAUCGUCAAUCCAAAUCUUAUUAACAAACCAAAAACAAAGAAGCUACAAACUACAAAUCAAAAACUAAAAUAGACCAAUCUAACACAAUAUUAACAGAAGCAUCCACGAUAUGAAAGUUCGACAAGGGCACACCAAUCCAUAACAAAGAAUGAAAAGUACGCCCAAUAAGGGCACCAUCACAGUACGCAGAAACAAUCAACAAAAUGACAACAAAGGAGGCAUUCCCAAUUGAAAACGAAAUUGUGUCCUCACUUCGGGCCAAGUACUUAUCAUAUUUUUUAGCACAUUUUACCGGUAGGAACCUGCUCUCAUCAAAAAUAAUCUUCCUCCUCAAUUUCAGGUGCCAUUUCUUGAUCAUUCGAAUUGGUUUAGAAAGCCAUUUAUAGUUCAAAACACCUACAAAUGAAGCCAACAUGUCAAAAGUACUUGAGGACACUUAAAUCAAUGGAUUAGGAAGUAUUUAAGCCAAAGAAAACGUCAAAAGAAGGUCCGAGCUAAGUUGUACGAAGCUACUGUUUUGGGUCUGUCAUCACUAUCUCCUCUGCAUUCGAGGAGAAAUGUUGCAUUACUUGUCGUUCUGGGUAUGGGUUGGCUCACCUACUGAUGGGUUAUAGUAUGUGUCAUCUUGACUAUAGAAGUCUGAAGUCGGAUUGUGACACAAAAAUACUUUAGUUGAGUUGGAUAUGAAACAGUCCAGCAUACUAUCUCCUCGUCAUUAUGUUAGAUUUAAAGUAAGAGGCUCCAUGUCUAGGUUAUUUUGCCUAUGCUUCUUAUUGGUAGUUUAAUUUUCCCCUAUCCUUGAUUGCACUAGUGUUCAAGGCAGUUUGUCUAUGCUUCCACCUCUUGAUGCAUUGCUCAUUCUUAAGGUUUGUUACUAGAUGUUGUAUUCAAAAAGCAACAUUGUUUUGAUACUUAUAUGGUUUUCAUCCUCUAUAGAAUACUAGAAGGGAAGCAUGUGCACAACAUAACAUUGUCGCAAAUAUUAUGUUUCAAAUUUCAUUACAUUUUGCUAAAAACACUAUGAACUAUAGUUGAGACAUCCAUUGCAUAUCAUAAAAGAACAGAUAUGACAAUAACGCUUCACCACAAAAAUUUCAAUCCACAGAAAUUACGAAACUAAUUUCCAAAGUCUGAAGAUACUACAAAAAUUCUCAUUCAAUAAGUAUUGACUUAUUUGUUCCCAAGAUUAAAAAAAGGGUACUAUACAAUAACAAAACAAAGAAAAUGAAGGAAAUGACCCCAAUAAAUAAUAAACACCAAGAACACCACAUUCACUCUCCUCAACUAAAAACAACCUAAAGAGUUCGAGUUCGAGUUCAAGUUCGAGAAGGGAUAUUUCUAGACAAAAGAAGCUUGAACUGGAAACAUGAAAUAGUAUUAGCGGUACAAUGUUUUUAAUCGCCCUUCAUUCAUAGCCGCAUCUCAAAUACUCACCUAUAACAACAAAUCUGAGUUCAUUGUGGACGACAUAAUAGCUUUAGCAGGAAGAACAAAAAAAUAAAGAAGAACAAACAGAUGUAAAAAUAGUAGCAGCACCUUAAAAACACUUCCUGUGGACAAUGGAUGGACCAGAGUUGUCGUACUCGCCCUUCGAAAUCCACAUUUGAUUAAGCACAAAACAUGUUUAAGUUAGAAACAACGUAGUUCAAAAUGCAGUUUAAAUUUGCAAAAGUUAUGCAAGAGAAAAUUUUAAGAAAUAAAGGCUUGCCAGCUGGAAGGUGCGAAGUGAUGCGAGGAUGGAUCCUCCAAUCUAGACAUUGUUCUUACUCUCUAGUGGAGAAACAACCUUAGUCUUCAUGCUGCUAGGAGUGAAGACAGUGAUUUCCUUGCUCAUACGAUAAACACCCUGCAAAUGUAUAUCUGAAGCCUCUAUAUCAAGUAUUGCCCUGUGUGGUUGUCUGGGAG